UAUAUUUGCGCGUCUAUUAUAAAAUAGUAGAAAUAUACAUAAUAAUCAUUUAAAAUAAUAUUGGAAUG
Molecule: non-coding RNA, 68 nt
Filed under: unclassified sequences
Description: S15-Flavobacteria ribosomal protein leader
Rfam family: S15-Flavobacteria ribosomal protein leader
Source: RNAcentral